ACAGAGUCUGUCUUUGUUGGCCAGGCUGGAGUGCAGCGGUGCGAUCUCAGCUCACUGCAACCUCUACCUCCCGGGUUCAUGUGAUUCUCCUACUUCAGUCUCCUGGGGAGCUGGAAUUACGGAAUCAGAGGCACAGCUCAAAAUGCACAAUGAAAUCUGAGAAAGCACCAAGAGAGGAACGGUGGUUUUACCAGAUGCCGGAGCAAGCCGCAUCUGUUCUCCUUCAGCCUCAGGAGCUGGGACGUCGGGUCUGGACAGGUGGGGCUCUGCCACCACCAUGUGCAACUGGGCCCAGACUCUGCUCUGAAGGUGCUCACAGACACGUUCAUAGGAGAGACAGCAGCUGAACACUCGUAAAGAUCCCUCAGGGCAGCAUCAACUUAGAACCACGCAAGAGAGGCGAACAUUUCCUUGCGGCACCGAGGAGGGGGAAACUGCUCCAGUUUUGUUUCCUUUUUGAGGGGAAAAGGGGCAAUGGCGAAUUGAGAGAGACGAAGGAAGACUUCCCCGAGCAGAUGGAGGGAGGGGAGCCUCAGACCAGGCGCGGAUUCUUCCAGGAAGUGUAUUUUCCAGCUAUUAUAACGAUUAAAACCCAGAAUUGAAAUAAACGGGGGGGGCGGAGCAAGAUGGCCAAAUAGGAACAGCUCCAGUCUCCAACUCCCAGCGCUAGUGACACAGAAGACUGGUGAUUUCUGCAUUUUCAACUG
Piliocolobus tephrosceles (Ugandan red Colobus) is the source of this 707-nucleotide long non-coding RNA. RefSeq lists it as uncharacterized. NCBI's taxonomy places the organism in Eukaryota, Metazoa, Chordata, Mammalia, Primates, Cercopithecidae. The record is from RefSeq and is a predicted model, not a curated record. The transcript is spliced from 4 exons.